Molecule: long non-coding RNA, 5282 nt
Filed under: Homo sapiens (human)
Lineage: Eukaryota; Metazoa; Chordata; Mammalia; Primates; Hominidae
Description: HSALNT0118979
Source: RNAcentral
GCUGGUUUAAGAAAGCUAUAAAUUUCUUAAUUUUAUAGAUUAAAAUUUAAAAUUUAAAACAAUAUAGAGAAAGAAUUCAGAAUUCCAUCAGAUAAAUUUAACAUAAAGAUAUGAAUGAUUUUUUAAAAAAUGAACCGAAAUUCUGGAGCUGAAACAUAACAAUUGACAUAUAGAAGAAUGCAACAGAGUAAACAGCAGGAUUGAUCAAGAAGAAAAAAGAAUUAGUGAGCUUAAAGACAGGCUAUUUGAAAAUAUACAAUUGAAGGAGACAAAAGAAAAAGAAUAAAGCAAGCCUACAAGAUCAAGAAAAUUUAAGUUAUCUCCCUUAAAGAGGAGGUAGAGUGAGAGUUCAGGGUAGAAAGUUUAUUCAAAGGGAUAACAGAGAACUCUCUGUACCUAGAGAAAGAUGUCAAUAUUCAAGUACAAGAAGAUUAUACAACACCCAGAGGAUUUAAACCAUGUAAGACAACUUCAAGACAUUUAAUAAACGAGCUCCCAAAAGAAGAGAAUAAAGAAAGGAGUCUAAAAGCAGCAAGAAAAAAGAAACAAAUAACAUCCAAAGAGAUCCAGUACAUGUGGUAGCAGACUUCUCAGUGGAAACUUUACAGGCCAGGAGGGAGUGGCAUGACAUAUUUAAAGUGUUGAAGGAAAAAAAAGUUUUAUCCUAGAAUAGCAUAUCCAAUGAAAACGUCAUUCAAACAUGAAGAAGAAAUAAUGACUUUUUCAGACAAACAAAAGCAAAAGCUGAGGGAUUUCAUCAAUACCAGACCUAUCCUGCAAGAAAUGCUAAAUGGAGUUCUUCAGUCUGAAAGAAAAGGAUGUUAACAAGCAAUAAGAAAUUAUCUGAAGGUACAAAAGUCAUUGGUAAUAGUAAGUAUACGUACAAACAGAGUAUUGCAACACCGUAAUUGUGCUGUGUAAACUACUCAUAAUCUUGAGUAGAAUGACUAAAAGAUGAAUCUAUCAAAAAGAAUAACUACAGCAACAUUUCGAUGCAUAGACAAUAAUAUAUCAAUAUGAACAAUAAAAAGUCAAAAAGGGGAAAUGAAGUUAAAGUGUAGCAUUUUUAUUAGUUUUCUCUUUGCUUGUUUUUGCAAUCAGUGUUAAGUCGACAUCAGUUUAAAAUAAUGGCUUAUAAGAUGUGAUUUGCAGGCCUCAUGGUAACCUCAAAUCAAGAAAUCUACAACAGAUAUCCAAAAAAAUAAAAAGCAAGAAAUUAAAACAUACCACCAUAAAAAAAUAAACUUCACAAAAAGGAUGACAAGGAAGGAAGGAUGACAAGGAAAGGAAGGAAGGAAGGAAGGAAGGAAGGGAAGGGGAAGGGGAGAAGGAGGGAGGGGAGAAGGUGGGAGGGAGGAAGGGAGAGAGGAAGGAAGGCGAAACAACCAGAAAACAAAUAACAAAAUGGCAGUAGUAAGCCUUUAUCAACAAUAACAUUGAAAGUAAACGCACUAACCUCUCCAAUCAAAACACAGAGUGGCUGAAUGGGUUUUUAAAAACAAGGCCAAUGAUCUGUUGUCUACAAGAAACAUGCUUCACAUAUAAAGACACAAAUACUGAAAAUAAAGGAAUGGAAAAGAUAUUCCAUGCAAAUGUAAGCCAAAAAAGAAUAGAAGGAGCUAUACUUAUAUCAGACAAAAUAGAUUUCAAGGCAAAAAGUGUAAAAAGAGACAAAAAUGGCAUUAUAUAAUGAUAAAGGGGUCAAUUAAGCAAGAGGAUAUUACAAUUGUAAAUAUAUAUGCACCCAACAGUGGAGCACCCAGAUAUACAAAGCAAAUAUUAUUAGAGCUAAAAAGAGAAAUAGAUCUCAAUACAAUAAGGGCUGGAGACUUCAACACUCCACUUUUAGCACUGGACAGAUCAUCCAUUCAGAAAAUCCACAAAGAAACAUGAGACUUAAUCUGUGGCACAGACCAGAUGAACCUAGUAGAUGUUUACAGAACAUUUCAUCCAAUGUCUACAGUAUACAUAUUCUUUUCCUCAGCCCAUAGAUUAUUCUCAGAGAUAGCCCAUACAUUAGGCCACAAGUCUUAAAAAUUUUAAAAGAUGAAAUUAUAUCAAGUAUCAUCUCUGAUCACAUGGAAUAAAACUAGAAAUCAAUAACAAGAGGAACUUUGGAAACCAUACAAACACAGGAAAAUUAAACAAUACGCUCCUGAAUGACCAGCAGGUCAAAUAAGCAAUUAAAAAUAAAAUAAAAUUAUUUUUAAAACAAAGAAAAUGGAAACAUAACAUACCAAAACCUAGGAGAUAUAGAAAAAGCAGUACUAAGAUGAAAUUUUAUAGCACUGUCUCCAUGAAAAAAGUAGAAUAUCUUCAAAUAAGCUAAUAAUGCAUCUUGAAAAAUUAGAAAGAUAAGAACAAACCAAACUCCAAAUCUGUACUCACAAAAAUUAAAAAUUGAAAAACUAAAGUAAAAAGUAAAUACUUUAUAUUGUAUUAAUGAAGAUGCAAUACAAACUAUAUAAAAUUAAAAUAAUUUUUGUCUUAAUAUCUGAAUUUUAUUAUUUUAGAAAUUAAUAUUUCACAUAUACAGCACGGAAUACGAUGCAACCAUAAAAGGGAACAAAAUCUUGUCUUUUGCAGCAACAUGGAUGCAGCUGGAGGCUGUUAUCCUAAGUGAACUAAGGCAGAAACAGAAAACCGAAUACUGCAAAUUCUUACUUAUAAGUAGGAAGUAAACACUGAAUACAUAGGGACACAAAGAUGGGAACAUAGACACUGGGGACUACUUGAUGGGGGAGGGUAGGAGAGGAAUGUAGGUUGAGAAACUGCCUAUAGGAUACUUCACUCACUACCUAGGUGAAGGGAUCAUUCGUACACCAAACUUCAGCAACAUGCAAUUUACCCAUGUAACAAACCUGCACAUGUACCCUCUGAACCUAAAAUAAAAAUAGACAGGAAAAAAAGAAGAUUUUAGUACUCUGUAAUUUUCUUCUCAUAAAACAUUUUUAUUAUGAAAUAUUUCACUCAUAAAUGAAAGGAAACAAAAUAAAAUGUAUGGUUCAAUAAAUUUUCACAAGGAGAAUACCUUUGAACCACCACCAAGACCAAUAAAUCAUAUACUGUGUAACUUUCUAUAGAUUAUAGGUUUACAGGAAAAUAUACAUUUCUAAACACUAUGGAAACUAUACAAACACAUGGAAAUUAAACAGUAUUCUCCUGUUCAAUUUUGCCACUGUUCACAUUUUAUAUACCUGACACCUCACUAUAUGUAUUAUUUUGUAUAGGUUUUAUUCAUCCAAUAUUUUAAGAACAGCUAUGUUACUUAAUGGAGAUGUAAUUUGUUUUUUUAAAUUGCUUCACUGAAUUUCUUAUAUGAAUAUAUUAUAUAAUAAAGUAUCCAUUAUACCAUUUGCAGACUUUAAAAUUGUUUCUAAUAUUUGAUUAUUAUGAAUGAUAAAGUUUUGAAACUCCUUGUCUUUGGGUACAAAUAAACAACAUUUCUGUUGUUUAUAAAAAUGAAUUGCUAGGCAUAAGGAAUGCAUAUGUUAUACUCAAUAUAUGAGACCAAAAGAAUUUUAAAGAGUGACUGUGCCUAUUUGUACUUCCACCAAAAGAUAGAGCAGUUAUGUUUGUGCCAGAUGUUUUCUAAUAUCUGAUGCUGUGGCAUAUUAAUUUAGCCACUCAAAUAACUCUGUUGCAGUAUUUCAUUGUAGUUUAUUUAUUAUUUUCCUAAUAACUAAUGCUGUUAAACCUUCUCAUGUUUAUUGUCCAUAUUGAUAUCAUCUUUUGUGAAGUGUCUGAUCAAGACCUUUGCCAUUUUUCCAUUGACUAACCUCUUUUUCUUAUUAAUUUGUAGGUGAUUUCCAUGUAUUCUCAACAAAAAUACUCUGCUAGAUCUUAAGCAUGUCAGCUGUAUGUCUUUUGAUUAUUUUAAUGGUAUAUAUUGUGAACAGAAAUUCUUGGCUUUAUUGAAAUGUAAUUAAUCAGUCUUUUCCUUUAGAUAAAUGUUUUUAUGUUACAUUUUGGAAGUCUUUCUCUAUAUUAAGCUUGUAAAAAUUUUUAUUUUAUAUUUUCUUCCAGACACCUAGUUUUUUCUUUCACACUGUAAUUAACAAUCUCACUAUAAUUAAAUUUUCUCUGAUAUAUAGAAGAGAUUAUGCUUCACAUUUUUCAUAUGAAUAUCCAAAUUCUUCAGUAGCAUAUAUUGAAAAUACCAUAAUUCCCCACUAAUCUGCAAUACUACCUUUGUCAUAAGUCAAAAGUGAUUAUAUCUGGGGUCUGUUUUCAAACUCUUUCUUCUAUUUCCAUGACCUAUCUUUCUAAUCUUUUAUUAUCCUUAUUGUUGUAGUGAUACAGCUCUAAUGAAUGGAGGAACACCAGGUUCUUGUCUCGCACGAUUUAGAUAAAACAACAUGGACACAUGUGGAGUGGAGCAGAGUUUAAUAAGCAAGAAAGAAAAGAGAAGGCAAAAGGAAGAGGCUCCCCAAUAAAGACACAGAGGGAGGGGGGCUCCAAAGCUAAAAGAGGAGACUCCACGUCCCACAGAUACCAGCCAGGUAUAAGAAGAGGCUGGAGGAGGCGGUGUUGGAUUUGCAUAGGACUCAGGGGAUUGCUUUGACCAGGCCUGUUUUUCACAUAGCUUCUAAAAAACUAGCCCUCCCACCCUAGCCUUUUAAUAUACAAACACAAGGCACCAUGAUGUUUUACAUAUGUGGGGAUAUGUGGGGACAGCCAUGUUGCCAGGCACAUGUGGGGCAAGGGCAAGAAGGCCAUGGGAAUUGCCAUUUUUGGGUGGACCCAGUCUCUAAUGGCCGACAUUCGCCUAUUAAAGGUUGCCUCCAUGGCUUUAAGAGCCUGGACUUUGCUUCUAGACAAGAAACGUUUUUGGAGCUGCUUUAAAAGAAACCAAAACGUUUCCUCUUUAUCUGCCUAAAAUAAUUUCUUAAAAACUCCUACCACAGUAAUUAUAAAAAGUCUUGGCCGGGUGUGGUGGCUCAUGCCUGUAAUCCCAGCACUUUGGGAGGCUAAGGUGGGCAGAUCACGAAAUCAAGAGAUGGAGACCAUCCUGGCCAGCAUGGUGAAAGCCCGUCUCUACUAAAAAUACAAAAAUUAGCUGGGCCGUGGUGGUGCAUGCCUGUAGUCCCAGCUACUUGGGAGGCUGAGGCAGGAGAAUUGCUUGAACCUGGGAGGCAGAGGUUGAAGUGAGCCGAGAUCACGCCACUGCACUCCAGCCUGGUGACACAGUGAGACUCUGUCUCAAAAAAAAUAAAAUAAAAUAAAAAAGUUUUGUUAUUUGAUAGAUCAAGACCUCUCACCUUGUUUUGUUCAAAAACUUG